This 501-nucleotide ribosomal RNA is filed under the name Staphylococcus sp. WH073. RNAcentral describes it as "bacterial SSU rRNA". It matches the Rfam family "Bacterial small subunit ribosomal RNA", at positions 98 to 586 of the family's 1533-position model. Lineage: Bacteria; Bacillati; Bacillota; Bacilli; Caryophanales; Staphylococcaceae. The record is from RNAcentral.
GCGGACGGGUGAGUAACACGUGGGUAACCUACCUAUAAGACUGGAAUAACUUCGGGAAACCGGAGCUAAUGCCGGAUAACAUUUGGAACCGCAUGGUUCUAAAGUAAAAGAUGGUUUUGCUAUCACUUAUAGAUGGACCCGCGCCGUAUUAGCUAGUUGGUAAGGUAACGGCUUACCAAGGCAACGAUACGUAGCCGACCUGAGAGGGUGAUCGGCCACACUGGAACUGAGACACGGUCCAGACUCCUACGGGAGGCAGCAGUAGGGAAUCUUCCGCAAUGGACGAAAGUCUGACGGAGCAACGCCGCGUGAGUGAUGAAGGUUUUCGGAUCGUAAAACUCUGUUAUUAGGGAAGAACAAAUGUGUAAGUAACUGUGCACAUCUUGACGGUACCUAAUCAGAAAGCCACGGCUAACUACGUGCCAGCAGCCGCGGUAAUACGUAGGUGGCAAGCGUUAUCCGGAAUUAUUGGGCGUAAAGCGCGCGUAGGCGGUUUCUUAA